GAUGAUGGAUAUGGAUAAGCCGGGAAUAAAAUGUCCUCCUGGUUCUCGUCAUACUACUCAUUGCCGUUCCAGCAUCAAACCCCAUUCCAAAAGCUCCAUGUGCUUUUAAUGAUCGUUUCUGUUAUGAAGAAUAAUGUCUUACUACCUUGAUUUCAUGGGAAGUCGAGGUAAAGAUUGCUCAUGAAUUUCAUAUAAUUUUGAGUGUACGUGAGACAUAUAUAAUUCUUAAGUUUAUGUGCUGGUGUUGUACUUGAAAUAAAGAAGAGGCCUCCUAGCUUCUUUAUUAAUUAAUUUAUUAAUUAAUCAAUACAGUUA
This is a long non-coding RNA of Neltuma alba, 315 nucleotides long. RefSeq lists it as uncharacterized. NCBI's taxonomy places the organism in Eukaryota, Viridiplantae, Streptophyta, Magnoliopsida, Fabales, Fabaceae. The record is from RefSeq and is a predicted model, not a curated record. The transcript has 2 exons.